GCGCCCGAUCAGGUUGUUGGUGGGGUAACGGCUCACCAAGCCCUAUAACCGGUACGGGCCGUGAGAGCGGGAGCCCGGAGAUGGGCACUGAGACAAGGGCCCAGGCCCUACGGGGCGCAGCAGUCGCGAAAACUCCGCAAUGCGCGAAAGCGUGACGGGGCUACCCCGAGUGCCGUCCGCUGAGGAUGGCUUUUCCCCGGUGUAAUGAGCCGGGGGAAUAAGGAGAGGGCAAGUCUGGUGUCAGCCGCCGCGGUAAUACCAGCUCUCCGAGUGGUAGGGAUAAUUAUUGGGCUUAAAGCGUCCGUAGCCGGCUUAGCAAGUCUCCUGUUAAAUUCAGCGACCUAAUCGUUGAGCCGCGGGAGACACUACUAGGCUAGGAGGCGGGAGAGGCCGACGGUAUUCUCGGGGUAGGGGUGAAAUCCUAUAAUCCCGGGAGGACCACCAGUGGCGAAGGCUGUCGGCUAGAACGCGCUCGACGGUGAGGGACGAAAGCUGGGGGAGCGAACCGGAUUAGAUACCCGGGUAGUCCCAGCUGUAAACGAUGCGGGCUAGGUGUUGGGGUGGCUACGA
RNAcentral lists this ribosomal RNA (570 nucleotides) under uncultured archaeon. RNAcentral's name for it is "bacterial SSU rRNA". It matches the Rfam family "Archaeal small subunit ribosomal RNA", at positions 217 to 788 of the family's 1478-position model. The record is from RNAcentral.